RNAcentral lists this ribosomal RNA (1268 nucleotides) under human gut metagenome. RNAcentral describes it as "bacterial LSU rRNA". It matches the Rfam family "Bacterial large subunit ribosomal RNA", at positions 1624 to 2876 of the family's 2925-position model. The record is from RNAcentral.
AAGUUUAUCCACAGCAAUCCGUACCGCAAACCGACACAGGUGGGUGGGAUGAACAAUCCAAGGCGCUCGAGAGAACUCUGGCCAAGGAACUCGGCAAAAUAACCCCGUAACUUCGGAAGAAGGGGUGCUCUCUAGGGUGACAUGUUUAACAUAUGAAGCCCCGGGGAGCCGCAGUGAAUUGGUGGUGGCGACUGUUUACUAAAAACAUAGGUCUGUGCGAAGUCCUAAAGACGACGUAUACGGACUGACGCCUGCCCGGUGCUGGAAGGUUAAAAGGAGGGGUCAGCGCAAGCAAAGCUCCGAAUUGAAGCCCCAGUAAACGGCGGCCGUAACUAUAACGGUCCUAAGGUAGCGAAAUUCCUUGUCGGGUAAGUUCCGACCUGCACGAAUGGCGUAACGAUCUCCACACUGUCUCGGCCAGAGACUCGGUGAAAUUGCAGUCGCGGUGAAAAUUCCGUGUACCCGCAGAAAGACGGAAAGACCCUGUGCACCUUUACUAUAGCUUGACAUUGGAUUUUGGGCCUGCAUGUGUAGGAUAGGUGGGAGGCUGUGAACCCUGUACGCCAGUAUGGGGGGAGCCAUCCUUGAAAUACCACCCUUGCAUGUUUAAGAUCCUAACUUCUUCCGGUUAUCCCGGAGAAAGACAGUGUCUGGCGGGUAGUUUGACUGGGGCGGUCGCCUCCUAAAGUGUAACGGAGGCAUGCAAAGGUUCCCUCAGCCUGAUCGGAAACCAGGCGCUGAGUGCAAACGCAUAAGGGAGCUUGACUGUAAGAGAGACAUCUCGAACAGGAACGAAAGUUGGCGUUAGUGAUCCGGUGGUCCCGAAUGGAAGGGCCAUCGCUCAUUGGAUAAAAGGUACGCCGGGGAUAACAGGCUGAUCGCAUCCAAGAGUUCACAUCGACGAUGCGGUUUGGCACCUCGAUGUCGGCUCAUCACAUCCUGGGGCUGAAGCAGGUCCCAAGGGUACGGCUGUUCGCCGUUUAAAGUGGUACGCGAGCUGGGUUUAAAACGUCGUGAGACAGUUUGGUCCCUAUCUUCUGUGGGCGAAGGAGAAUUGAGAGGGCCUGUCCCUAGUACGAGAGGACCGGGAUGGACGCACCCCUGGUGAUCCUGUUGUCGCGCCAGCGGCAUAGCAGGGUAGCUAUGUGCGGAAGGGAUAACCGCUGAAAGCAUCUAAGCGGGAAGCCUGCCUCAAGAUAAGUUCUCCCCUCGAAAGAGCUGAAGGGCCCGGGUAGACUACCCGGUCGAUAGGCUGGAGGUGUAAGCGC